AUGGCAAUGAUCAGCGCCACCACCGUCGUCUUGGCCACCAGACCGUCGCCGGCUGCAGGGCUUCCUCAGUUGAGAGUGGCCAGGGCCGUGAGGCUGAGGUGCAGCUACUCCAAGGACAGCAAGAGGGCAUCUUUGGCUCUGGCUCCGGUGAUACUCAAGGGCGCGCCGCUGCUCGCUGCGGCGAGCGCCAUGUCGGCCGCAACGCUGGCGGAGGUGGACGAGCGGAUGUCGGCUGAGCGUACCCGGCUGAGCAACGACCUACUGGGGUGGAUCCUGCUGGUUGCCGUCGGCCUCGUCCUGUCCUUCUACACCGUCUACUCCUCCAUGCCCAUCCUCGACGAUGAUGAUGACCAAUCCAGCGCUGGCGGCAUCACUCUCUGA
This 381-nucleotide ribosomal RNA is filed under the name Triticum aestivum (bread wheat). Its description in RNAcentral is "partial small subunit ribosomal RNA". The record is from RNAcentral. Lineage: Eukaryota; Viridiplantae; Streptophyta; Magnoliopsida; Poales; Poaceae.